CCUAUAGGCAUAAGCAGUUAGACGAAAUGAGAGACGAGAAAGAAGAAGAAAAGAUCAUGGAGAAGAAGAAGAAGAAGAAGAAUAAGCAGAAGCUGAAGAAUCAAGAAGAAAAACAAAAUGAAGGAGAAGACAAGAACACAGUGAAGGAGGAGAAGGAUACUAAACAGAAAGCUCAACCACAAAUUAACAACAAGAAGAGGAAACGCAAGGAAGUUUUCCCUUUCGGCAAUUAUAGAGGCUACUAUGGCUAUCGUAUUGGUCAAGACAUGGACGAAGACCCUCGACUUAAGGUUUUUAAGGAGGAAUGGUUUCAAGGCAAGGAUUGCCUCGAUAUUGGCUGCAAUAGUGGCAUUAUUACUAUACAGAUUG
RNAcentral lists this unclassified non-coding RNA (369 nucleotides) under Hevea brasiliensis (rubber tree). Lineage: Eukaryota; Viridiplantae; Streptophyta; Magnoliopsida; Malpighiales; Euphorbiaceae. The record is from RNAcentral.